UGGACAGAAAGACCCUAUGAAGCUUUACUGUAACUUGAAAUUGAAAUUGGACUUUAUUCGCGCAGUAUAGGUGGGAGGCGUUGAUUAUAAUCUUGCGGGAUUAUUGGAGCCAUCAGUGAGAUACCACCCUUGUAAUGUUAGAUUUCUAACUUUGAAUCAUUAUCUGGUCAAAGAACAGUUUCAGGCGGGCAGUUUGACUGGGGCGGUCGCCUCCUAAAAGGUAACGGAGGCGCGCAAAGGUUUCCUCAGGCUGGUUGGAAAUCAGCCGACGAGUGCAAAAGCAGAAGGAAGCUUGACUGUGAGACCUACAAGUCGAACAGGGACGAAAGUCGGCUUUAGUGAUCCGACGGUUCUGAGUGGAAGGGCCGUCGCUCAACGGAUAAAAGUUACUCUAGGGAUAACAGGCU
Molecule: ribosomal RNA, 407 nt
Filed under: uncultured eukaryote
Lineage: Eukaryota
Description: bacterial LSU rRNA
Rfam family: Bacterial large subunit ribosomal RNA
Source: RNAcentral